RNAcentral lists this ribosomal RNA (499 nucleotides) under uncultured bacterium. RNAcentral's name for it is "bacterial SSU rRNA". It matches the Rfam family "Bacterial small subunit ribosomal RNA", at positions 30 to 507 of the family's 1533-position model. The record is from RNAcentral.
UGAACGCUGGCGGCGUGCUUAACACAUGCAAGUCGAGCGAGAACGUCGACUUCGGUCGAACUGUAAAGCGGCGAACGGGUGAGUAACACGUGGGCAACCUGCCCUGGAGUGGGGGAUAACCUGGGGAAACUCGGGCUAAUACCGCAUACGACCUCAGCACUGCGGUGCUGAGGGGAAAGCUGGCCAAUUCAUGAAAGCUAGCGCUCCUGGAGGGCCCGCGCCCGAUUAGCUUGUUGGUGAGGUAACGGCUCACCAAGGCAGUGAUCGGUAGCCGGCCUGAGAGGGCGAUCGGCCACACUGGGACUGAGACACGGCCCAGACUCCUACGGGAGGCAGCAGUGGGGAAUAUUGGACAAUGGGCGCAAGCCUGAUCCAGCAACGCCGCGUGGAGGACGAAGGCCUUCGGGUCGUAAACUCCUGUCAGUUGGGACGAAAAGUCGUCGGUCAAUAGCCGGCGAUCAUGACGGUACCAGCAGAGGAAGCCCCGGCUAACUCCGUG